Scophthalmus maximus (turbot) is the source of this 119-nucleotide ribosomal RNA. The record is from Ensembl. Lineage: Eukaryota; Metazoa; Chordata; Actinopteri; Pleuronectiformes; Scophthalmidae.
GCUUACGGCCACACCGCCUGGUUCACGUCCGAUCUCGUUUGAUCUCGGAAGCUAAAAUAGGUUGGGCCUGGUUAGUACUUGCAUGGGAGACUGCCUGGGAAUACCAGGUGCUGUAAGCU